GGAAUAUUGCACAAUGGGCGAAAGCCUGAUGCAGCAACGCCGCGUGAGCGAUGAAGGCCUUCGGGUCGUACAGCUCUGUCCUCAAGGAAGAUAAUGACGGUACUUGAGGAGGAAGCCCCGGCUAACUACGUGCCAGCAGCCGCGGUAAUACGUAGGGGGCUAGCGUUAUCCGGAAUUACUGGGCGUAAAGGGUGCGUAGGUGGUUUCUUAAGUCAGAGGUGAAAGGCUACGGCUCAACCGUAGUAAGCCUUUGAAACUGGGAAACUUGAGUGCAGGAGAGGAGAGUGGAAUUCCUAGUGUAGCGGUGAAAUGCGUAGAUAUUAGGAGGAACACCAGUUGCGAAGGCGGCUCUCUGGACUGUAACUGACACUGAGGCACGAAAGCGUGGGGAGCAAA
Molecule: ribosomal RNA, 396 nt
Filed under: uncultured bacterium
Lineage: Bacteria
Description: bacterial SSU rRNA
Rfam family: Bacterial small subunit ribosomal RNA
Source: RNAcentral